This 521-nucleotide long non-coding RNA is filed under the name Triticum aestivum (bread wheat). RNAcentral's name for it is "long non-coding RNA (TAES_LNC000624)". The record is from RNAcentral. Lineage: Eukaryota; Viridiplantae; Streptophyta; Magnoliopsida; Poales; Poaceae.
CAGCAAAUGCUAAUGAUGCUGUUGGUGCUGGGAUGGCUGAAUUUGGAUUGGCUAAGCCUGUGCAAGUUGAGUCUUCUGGUGCCGUACAGGAGAAUCUUGCCGCUCCAUCCUCAGAUAUUCUUCAUUCAGCUACAGCUAAUGCUAAUGAUGCUGUUGGUGCUGAGAUGGCUGAGUUUAGCUUGGUUAAGCCUGUGCAAGUUGAGUCUUCCGGUGCAGCACAGGAGAACCUUGCCGCUCCAUCCUCAGAUUUGCUCCAUUCAGCUGCAGCAAAUGCUAAUGAUGCUGCUAGUGCUGAGAUUGCUGAAUUUGGAUUGGCUAAGCCUGUGCAAGUUGAGUCUUCUGGUGCUGUAGCUCCACCCUCGGAUUUUCUCCAUUCAGCUGCAGUAAAUGCUAAUGACACUGUUGGUGCUGAGAUGUCUGAAUAUAGAUUGACUAAUCCUGUGCAAGUUGAGUCUUCUGGUGCUGUACCGGAGAAUUUUGCUGCUCCACCCUCAGAUUUUUUCCAUCCAGCUGCAGCACAU